This 463-nucleotide ribosomal RNA is filed under the name Vreelandella stevensii. RNAcentral describes it as "partial 16S ribosomal RNA". It matches the Rfam family "Bacterial small subunit ribosomal RNA", at positions 338 to 795 of the family's 1533-position model. Lineage: Bacteria; Pseudomonadati; Pseudomonadota; Gammaproteobacteria; Oceanospirillales; Halomonadaceae. The record is from RNAcentral.
CCUACGGUGGCAGCAGUGGGGAAUAUUGGACAAUGGGCGAAAGCCUGAUCCAGCCAUGCCGCGUGUGUGAAGAAGGCCUUCGGGUUGUAAAGCACUUUCAGUGGGGAAGAAAGCCUUGGGGCUAAUACCCUCGAGGAAGGACAUCACCCACAGAAGAAGCACCGGCUAACUCCGUGCCAGCAGCCCGGUAAUACGGAGGGUGCGAGCGUUAAUCGGAAUUACUGGGCGUAAAGCGCGCGUAGGCGGUCUGAUAAGCCGGUUGUGAAAGCCCCGGGCUCAACCUGGGAACGGCAUCCGGAACUGUCAGGCUAGAGUGCAGGAGAGGAAGGUAGAAUUCCCGGUGUAGCGGUGAAAUGCGUAGAGAUCGGGAGGAAUACCAGUGGCGAAGGCGGCCUUCUGGACUGACACUGACGCUGAGGUGCGAAAGCGUGGGUAGCAAACAGGAUUAGAUACCCCAGUAGUC